UAAAACUAGAGGGACACUUGAAACUAUCUGGACCCGGGCGUUGGUUGACCCGGGCGAAAGGGACCGAAAUCAAGUAGGGAAGUCAGAGAACGUCGAGGCGAGAAAAGCUCUAGCGUAUAAUAAGGUGCCCGUACCGCAAACCGACACAGGUAGAUGAGGAGAGGAUCCUAAGGCCAACGGGAGAAGGGUUGUUAAGGAACUCGGCAAAAUUACCCCGUAACUUCGGGAUAAGGGGAGCUCCCUAAGGGGAGCCGCAGAGAAUAGGCCCAAGCGACUGUUUACCAAAAACACAGGUCUAUGCUAAAUCGAAAGAUGACGUAUAUGGGCUGACGCCUGCCCGGUGCUGGAAGGUUAAGAGGAGAGCUUAGCGCAAGCGAAGGUUUGAAUUGAAGCCCCAGUAAACGGCGGCCGUAACAAUAACGGUCCUAAGGUAGCGAAAUUCCUUGUCAGGUAAGUUCUGACCCGCACGAAUGGCGUAACGAUUUGGGCGCUGUCUCAACAGCCCACCCGGCGAAAUUGUAGUACUGGUGAAGAUGCCAGUUACCCGCAACUAGACGGAAAGACCCCAUGGAGCUUUACUGUAGCUUAAUACUGAGGAUUGGUAAAUCAUGUACAGGAUAGGUGGGAGACAUGGAAACAUUGGCGUCAGCCAGUGCGGAGUCACCCUUGGGAUACCACCCUUGAUUUACUGGUUUUCUAACCUGCGGCCCUGAAUCGGGUCGGGGGACACUGUUAGGUGGGCAGUUUGACUGGGGCGGUCGCCUCCUAAAAGGUAACGGAGGCGCUCAAAGGUUCGUUCAGCACGGACGGAAAUCGUGCAGUGAGUGUAAACGCAGAAACGAGCCUAACUGCGACACCGACGGGUGGAGCAGUAACGAAAGUUGGAGUUAGUGAUCCGGAGGUAUGCAAGUGGAAGUGCCGUCGCUCAACGGAUAAAAGCUACCCUGGGGAUAACAGGCUGAUCUCCCCCAAGCGUCCACAGCGACGGGGAGGUUUGGCACCUCGAUGUCGGCUCGUCACAUCCUGGGGCUGUAUUCGGUCCCAAGGGUUCGGCUGUUCGCCGAUUAAAGUGGCACGCGAGCUGGGUUCAGAACGUCGUGAGACAGUUCGGUCCCUAUCUGUUGCGGGCGUAAGAGAUUUGAAGGGAGCUGUCCUUAGUACGAGAGGACCGGGAUGGACAGACCUCUGGUGCACCAGUUGUCCUGCCAAGGGCACAGCUGGGUAGCUACGUCUGGACGAGAUAAACGCUGAAAGCAUCUAAGCGUGAAACUCCCCCUAAGAUAAGAUCUCUCAUCCAUUAUGGAGUAAGGCUCGACGUAGACUAUGUCGUUGAUAGGUCGGAGGUGGAAGUGCCGUGAGGCAUGGAGCUGACCGAUACUAAUAAGCCGAGGGCUUGACCU
Molecule: ribosomal RNA, 1400 nt
Filed under: metagenome
Description: bacterial LSU rRNA
Rfam family: Bacterial large subunit ribosomal RNA
Source: RNAcentral